This 163-nucleotide small RNA is filed under the name Arabidopsis thaliana (thale cress). RNAcentral's name for it is "ATSL146890". The record is from RNAcentral. Lineage: Eukaryota; Viridiplantae; Streptophyta; Magnoliopsida; Brassicales; Brassicaceae.
UAAGGAUUUGUGAGAGAUCAAAAUAAACAAAUGACUAUAUAUGUCCAUGGCGUAGAAAAAUAAGCACAAGAAAGAUAAGAAAACUAAACGACAUAGGAUAAAAGAGGAAGAAAAGAGAGCUCGGAGGUGAAAAUAAUCAUACUUUUAUUUUUUUGUGACUUCU